This 446-nucleotide ribosomal RNA is filed under the name uncultured Pelagibacterales bacterium. Its description in RNAcentral is "bacterial SSU rRNA". It matches the Rfam family "Bacterial small subunit ribosomal RNA", at positions 1072 to 1533 of the family's 1533-position model. Lineage: Bacteria; Pseudomonadati; Pseudomonadota; Alphaproteobacteria; Candidatus Pelagibacterales. The record is from RNAcentral.
GAGAGUGGGUAGUCCGCACGAGCGCACCUUACUUUUAGUUGCCAUCAUUUAGUUGGGCACUCUGAAAGAACUGCCAGUGAUAAGCUGGAGGAAGGUGGGGAUGACGUCAAGUCCUCAUGGCCCUUACGUGUUGGGCUACACACGUGCUACAAUGGUAUCUACAACAGGAAGCAAAACAGCGAUGUUAAGCAAAUCCCGAAAAGNUACCUCAGUUCGGAUUGCACUCUGCAACUCGAGUGCAUGAAGCUGGAAUUACUAGUAAUCGUGGAUCAGCGUGCCACGGUGAAUACGUUCCCGGGUCUUGUACACACCGCCCGUCACACCAUGGGAGUUGGUUCUACCUUAAGGCGAAGCUUAAAACCUUUGACCACGGUAUAGUCAGCGACUGGGGUGAAGUCGUAACAAGGUAGCCGUAGGGGAACCUGCGGCUGGAUUACCUCCUUUCU